Molecule: ribosomal RNA, 448 nt
Filed under: uncultured bacterium
Lineage: Bacteria
Description: bacterial SSU rRNA
Rfam family: Bacterial small subunit ribosomal RNA
Source: RNAcentral
UGGGGAAUAUUGGACAAUGGGCGCAAGCCUGAUCCAGCCAUGCCGCGUGAGUGACGAAGGUCUUCGGAUUGUAAAGCUCUUUUUGGCGGGGACGAUAAUGACGGUACCCGCAGAAUAAGCCCCGGCUAACUUCGUGCCAGCAGCCGCGGUAAUACGAAGGGGGCUAGCGUUGUUCGGAAUUACUGGGCGUAAAGCGCACGUAGGCGGACUGAUAAGUCAGGGGUGAAAUCCCAAGGCUCAACCUUGGAACUGCCUCCGAUACAGCAAGCCUAGAGAUCGGGAGAGGUGAGUGGAAUUCCUAGUGUAGAGGUGAAAUUCGUAGAUAUUAGGACGAACACCAGUGGCGAAGGCGGCUCACUGGCCCGAUACUGACGCUGAGGUGCGAAAGCGUGGGGAGCAAACAGGAUUAGAUACCCAAGUAGUCCCUGAGCGGGCUGGCAAGGCGCAU